Non-coding RNA from Sesamum indicum (sesame), 655 nucleotides. The record is from RefSeq and is a predicted model, not a curated record. NCBI's taxonomy places the organism in Eukaryota, Viridiplantae, Streptophyta, Magnoliopsida, Lamiales, Pedaliaceae.
UGCUGCUUCUGCUUCAACUAACUUGUUAAAGUCCUCCAUCAGGUCAGUGGUUGAUGCGGCACUUUGGAGAAGAAAAGCUUGUCCGAGUCAGUUAUCACUUUGCAGUUGCAAUAGAAAAUACUCAGGAAACAACAACAAUGUGGAUAACCAUCUGGUGUGCCAGUACAAAUGGAAGCAAAAAUAUCUCUUUGGUUGAAAGAUGUGGCUUGACAGGUACGUACACUACACCAAUUUUAUUGAAAACAAAUGUUGCAUCAAGUUGGAGGUGGGAGGGGGAGUAUGUAGAUCCGACGGUGCAAGUAAAGUGACCUUUGGAAUUGUAGGGGAGCCAGUUUUAUCUAGAUGAUAAUUAAAACGGUGUAGUAUUUGUAUCUCUUGUGUGCAAUAAUUAAGCAAUCAAUAUAUCCCGAACAUAUACGGAUUUUUGCAUCAAAUCCAUUUUGAAUUGGUCAGUGGGUCCUAGCAAAAUGUUUAAGAAGAAUGAUUGGUUCCAUGUGAUGUUGUGUUAGGACAAGUGACAAGGAUCCCAUGUACUACUUUCUCUGUAAGCCAAAUGUAAAAUCAUUAAAUUAAGGGUGGAAUCAUCAUCAGAUUGGACUAAAUUAACCAUUAAAUCCAUAAGUUCCCGACUUUAAUUCUCUACUGAAAAGUCUUU